GCCCGCCUAGCUCAAUCGGAUAGAGCGUCAGACUCUUAUGAGUGCGGGUACACGUCACGUGUUCACGUGAUCUGAAGGCUGCGAGUUCGACCCUCGCGGUGGGCU
RNAcentral lists this transfer RNA (105 nucleotides) under Irpex rosettiformis. RNAcentral describes it as "tRNA-Lys". It matches the Rfam family "tRNA". Rfam says of the family: Transfer RNA (tRNA) molecules are approximately 80 nucleotides in length. Their secondary structure includes four short double-helical elements and three loops (D, anti-codon, and T loops). The record is from RNAcentral. Lineage: Eukaryota; Fungi; Basidiomycota; Agaricomycetes; Polyporales; Irpicaceae.